Molecule: long non-coding RNA, 605 nt
Organism: Alnus glutinosa
Lineage: Eukaryota; Viridiplantae; Streptophyta; Magnoliopsida; Fagales; Betulaceae
Exons: 4
Source: RefSeq, a predicted model, not a curated record
AAAAAAGGAGGCAGAGUCUCCUUCGUCAGACCAUCAGAGGCGUGAGACAUGGGGUAAGGAAAAUGAGAGUUUUCCUUGUAGAAAAAUUACGAUCCACAAAGAUCUAACGGUCCGAUUUUCAAUCCGUCUUCGGUAACGUGAUCCUUGCACUCGGAUCUACAUUACUACCGUUCACUUUAAGGUGUUUGAGUUUAUUGGAGCGUAUUUGAGGCUAGCUAAACUUUGGGUUGGAGUUUGGUGAAUUUGGGAUAGUGUCCGGAUUGGAGUCUUUAAUGGGUUCUCCAAUGUAGAGUUCGAGUCAUGGUCCAAUGCAGCCAAGAUGAUGUUCUUUUGGCUGCAGGUAUUCCGGUCGUAGUUGAUAGCAUUGUAGAAGGGUAUUUUGGAUGUUAUGACUGAAGCACGCCGCAACGGUCGUAAUUGGUGGACCACGGGUUGUCCACUUGUUUAUAGGUUUGGUUUAUGGCUUGUGACGUUUGUGUCACUUGUUAUUGUACAAAACCAUUUAUGUCACUUAUUUAAUUCGUGGAAAGAUUUAAUCAUAUAGAUACUUAAUGGCUCUUUGUUGUAAUUAUUUGUGAUAGAUGUAUAAGAUGUGAUUUCCGCUA